CUCACUCUCUCCCUUUCCUCUCCCCUUCAUCAGCCGUUACUUACAGAACAUAGAGAAGAGAGAGAAAAUUGGAGGAGGCAACGCCAGCCGGCCGGCCGGCAGGCUCGCCUGCUCACGCGUGCACGGCGCGCGGCGCGUGCGACGCGGCGGCCUCGCGCAGCUGUGGCCCUGAGCGCUCGCGCGGUGGUGGGACCUGCGGCUUGGCGCGGCUGCGUGGGCGCGGGCUCGCCUACACCCAGCGCGGCCCCAGGCGUGGCGCUCGGCGGCGUGCACCCCUGGUGCUGGGCAUGAAGCGCAGCAGCAGCCAGCGGCCCCGGGUGGAGCGCUUGGCGCGACCGCGGCCACCGGUCCGACGUGGGUGGCCCGGCUCGGCCGGCGUGGAGGCUUGUGGCCUCGGGCGCGAGCGGCAGGCGGCCCCGCGGCCUCGCGUCCCCGCGCGGCGCGCGCGUGGCUCGGGGAGCCCCUGCGGCUGCAGCCCUGGCUCGCGUCCCCGCACGGCGCUCGACGCGGACGGGUGGAGGCGCAUGGCCAGCGGGUGACGCAGCGUGCCCGCGCGUGCUUUGGCGGCGACCGUGGCCCCUGCCCAUGCUUACCACCGUGCCAGACCUGUGCCGCUUCGACUCCCUGCAUAGCAAGGUAAUGAAUUUAAGAUUGAAAACUCCAUAUAAUCUGUAACUAUGAUAAUCCAGGGUUAAAGCUUCAAUAUUUUUUAAACAAAGAAUGAAACCUUUGUUGAUAGUUCAGGACGAGAUAUGAUUUCUAUUCUUGCCUUCCUGCAUAAGGUCUCUUGCAUAGCGACUAUUCGUGUUUAGUGAUAUUGACAAAGCCUCAUGUACUCGACUGGGCAUAAGCAUGAGUUGUUCUUAAUAUCCUUUUUGCAUAUAGCCUUGCAGGUUCAGUCAUUGCCAUGUUUCCAUCUCGUUUUGUUAUCAAUCUGUGAAUUUAGAUGUUUGUCUUCUAUCAUACUGUGUAAUGUUCAAAAAUUGGCAGCUCGCUCAUUUUGCAAACUUAUUAGGUUAGUGCAAAUUUGAAUAAAAAAUUUAUGGUAAUUUGGGAUAUAGUAAAGAAGGAUGUGUACCAUCGCAAUAUGCAGCAAUUUCAUCUGCCUUCACAGCUCUCCUGUGUAUUCUGAUACUUCACAAUAGAGGCAGGUCUGUAUUCAUCCCUUAGGCCUUUGCAAAUUCAAAUGUGUUUACAUUUUGUGGUUCCUACUGUUAAUGGUCUGAUUAAUUUUAUAAAAUAAGAUUUCAUCUUACUGAUCUUUGAAGCAAUACACCCAUAACCAUGCAGAGGAUGGAUUGUUAGCACUAUUCAAUACCAGAGGCAGCGUUUGAAGUGCACACGUCAUGAUAUGUCAUCCAGCUGUGUUAAGUGUCAUCACUCAUACAUACUAUGAAUGUUUACAGGGUGUCCUACCGAUUGCCCAAAUUUUUUUUUUCAGUUAUGAAGUUCACAAUACAAGCUCCCAUUUGGAUAUGAAGUUCAAAAUACAAGCUCCCAUUCUAAAAGAUAGAACACAAGAAAAUACAGUAGUUUUUUUUCAGUUAUGGAACAUUUGUCCAAAACUAUAAGCUUUGUAUUUAAGAAAGGUUAUUCAAUUGCAUUGGUUGACCUGGAGUUAUAGUAUACUCUUAAUCGGUUGCCACUAUAGCUUUUUCUCUGGCUGAUCUCUGCCAACAUAUACUACUUGCAAGAUCUCAAGGCCUGAUCCGACAUUAUGAAGGACAACAAAGAUGCACUUGAGGACAAACACCAGGCCUGCGUGGCGAGGCCGUGCAGCACUUUGGUUUAUAAUGGUUUUGCAGGAUCUCAAAAACACCUUAUACUCAAUGUAGUUAGAGCUUACUGUUAAACGUCUUCUAUGUUGCUGCUCAUUUAUUAUUAUAAAUCUUGUAGGUUGCAGCAACUUGAGUAGAUGCUUUGCAGAUAAGUUGUAUCUGAAGUUUGUAAAGAAUUUGAUUGCUGAAAUGGAUGAAAUAUGUGUAAUGCUUGCUAAAAUGGAUGAAAUAUGUGUUUUUCUAUAUCGUGAUUAGUGACUCGGCUCAACUGAACACGUCGCUGCUCAAGGGUCAUCA
This 2075-nucleotide long non-coding RNA is filed under the name Sorghum bicolor (sorghum). RNAcentral describes it as "long non-coding RNA (SBIC_LNC009612)". The record is from RNAcentral. Lineage: Eukaryota; Viridiplantae; Streptophyta; Magnoliopsida; Poales; Poaceae.